AAGUCUCCUGAAGGAACGUUGAAGACGACUACGUUGAUAGGCCGGGUGUGUAAGCGCAGCGAUGCGUUGAGCUAACCGGUACUAAUGAACCGUGAGGCUUAACCUUACAACGCCGAAG
This 118-nucleotide ribosomal RNA is filed under the name Salmonella enterica. RNAcentral's name for it is "partial 23S ribosomal RNA". The stretch from base 1 to 106 matches the Rfam family "Bacterial large subunit ribosomal RNA", at positions 2820 to 2925 of the family's 2925-position model. The record is from RNAcentral. Lineage: Bacteria; Pseudomonadati; Pseudomonadota; Gammaproteobacteria; Enterobacterales; Enterobacteriaceae.